GGGGGAUACGUGACAACCCUGUUUACAAAUGUAACGAUUGAUUCUUCAAUGUUGUUUUGAACCGCACCGAUAUGUCCACACGCUGCCGCAUCUAGAGUGCUUUUGUGUCUGGUGAUGGUUUUAAAGUGCGUCGACGGAUUUGUCUUGAAGAUCCGCCCGAAAAUAACUUCAAGCAUGCUCCGAAAAAAGAGGCAUUCAAGAAUCCAAAGUAAUACGUUACAAUCCCCGUCUCGACGCCCGCAGACCCUCUCCACAUCAUUGGGAUUCCCGUUUCGAAUUCUUACAGCAUUGAGAGGCCGUUCUCUGCAGAAUAUCGACUCAAGCAAGUAGGACGGAGUCUGAAGGAGAACGACAAAGAGGAGACGAGAUUUUAGUGUGGGCCCGGCUGUAUUUUACAAGAUGAAUUUCAAAUUCUUCCAUCCUGAACCAAAUUACAUACAUCAACAAUAGUCUAGAAAAAACGGCGAUACCAUGGCAAUUGGAGAUCAGAUAAUAUCUUAAAUCUGUUACAAUUACAAAGAUCUCAUGCAACUAGAUCAGAAUGGUAAGUUUUUUCCAAUGUCCUAAAAUAAAAUGUUGACUAAAACAUUUUUCCUUUUUGUGUACGAAUUAAAUAAAUUUUGUUGUAUUUUCUGCUAAAUAUACAAACUUUG
Long non-coding RNA from Cylas formicarius (sweet potato weevil), 653 nucleotides. RefSeq lists it as uncharacterized. The transcript has 3 exons. Lineage: Eukaryota; Metazoa; Arthropoda; Insecta; Coleoptera; Brentidae. The record is from RefSeq and is a predicted model, not a curated record.